RNAcentral lists this long non-coding RNA (1106 nucleotides) under Homo sapiens (human). Its description in RNAcentral is "HSALNT0392756". The record is from RNAcentral. Lineage: Eukaryota; Metazoa; Chordata; Mammalia; Primates; Hominidae.
UAUUUGUACAACACCCUGGAGUCUCAGACAACACAUGAUCUCUACCUGCCACUUGCCUAAUUCUGUUGACAGAAACUGCUUUCAAUAUGACUGUUGAAAUUUAAAGCUGCUAUAUGAAGGGAUCCACAAGACGAAUAAUUAAGGGGGACCUCUGAUCAACAGCCAGCAAGGAACUGAAUCCCUCAGACCCACAACUCACAAGAAACUGAAGCUGAAGCAGAUUCUUCCUCAGUCAAGCUUCAGGUGCCCAGCUGUAUUGGUAGAGGAGACCAACCACACCCUCCACAGCACAGCACCUGGAGAGGAACUGCUGCCAUGACCAUAGAGGACACCCUCUGGAUACAAUGCCAGACUUGAUGUGGGACUGACCAACCUAUGGACCCCAGGCACCACCACCCAGACCUGCUCAGCACCUGAAACAUUCACAGCCGUGGAGAGAGAACUGUUCACUGCUACCAUCCACACUUCUGGGCCCCUUCAGCAGCAGGGUGACAAGGAAGAGGGAAAUCGACUUGGAAAAGAGGGGACCUCUGACCCAAGAGUUCGGUCAAUGCAUAUGUUGGCAGCCAGCUGCACAUCGCACCAAAUAUGAACUUCAAAUAGAAGAAAGCCUCAUUUGGAAGAAAGCUCAUGCACAGACUGUAAAUAUUUCAGAGCAGAUUGUGUCUCUGUAGAUUAAUAACCAAAAAAUAGAAGAUUCAGAAGAACUAGCAAAUGUGGAGAGAACGGAUGAAAUGGAAGCAGUGUGAACCUAGUGAAUACUUGCCAAGCUGUAUCUCCCCUGAAUUUGUCAAAACAUCAUCUCCAGCAUCUGAGCUAGACCAACCCUCAGUGCUAACAUUGAUGUGAUUAAAGAGUCUGAACUGGGAGCAGAAUUCCUUCAGGUAUUUUGUUAAUAAAAUAAAGCUCUCCAUCUCUCCUUAAAUUAAACAAGCCUGCUCUCCUGGAUCAUGUUUUGAACAUAGUUCAUUUUACGAAAGGCUUCCCUUUGGGGCCCUUUAUUUUAAUUCUGGUUGUGCAAAUCAGCCCAUGUUCUGUUCAUGAGGGACACCUGUUUAUUCCCCGUGAAAACAAAUUCGUUGGAUGCACCCUGGGAGGCUACAAGG